RNAcentral lists this ribosomal RNA (403 nucleotides) under uncultured bacterium. RNAcentral describes it as "bacterial SSU rRNA". It matches the Rfam family "Bacterial small subunit ribosomal RNA", at positions 356 to 774 of the family's 1533-position model. The record is from RNAcentral.
GGGGAAUAUUGGACAAUGGGCGCAAGCCUGAUCCAGCCAUGCCGCGUGAGUGAUGAAGGCCUUAGGGUUGUAAAGCUCUUUCGCCGGUGAAGAUAAUGACGGUAACCGGAGAAGAAGCCCCGGCUAACUUCGUGCCAGCAGCCGCGGUAAUACGAAGGGGGCUAGCGUUGCUCGGAAUCACUGGGCGUAAAGCGUGCGCAGGCGGUUUUGUAAAGCGAAUAGUGAAACCUGGUGGCUCAACCAUACAGACUAUUAUUCGAACUCACUAACUCGAGAAUGGUAGAGGUAACUGGAAUUUCUAGUGUAGGAGUGAAAUCCGUAGAUAUUAGAAGGAACACCAAUGGCGUAGGCAGGUUACUGGACCAUUUCUGACGCUAAGGCACGAAAGCGUGGGGAGCGAACC